RNAcentral lists this long non-coding RNA (414 nucleotides) under Rattus norvegicus (Norway rat). RNAcentral's name for it is "long non-coding RNA NONRATT024534". Lineage: Eukaryota; Metazoa; Chordata; Mammalia; Rodentia; Muridae. The record is from RNAcentral.
GCAGAGGCUGUGUGUGUACAUAUGUGUGCAGAGGCUGUGUUUAUGUGUGUGCAGAGGCUGUGUGUGUGUGUGUGUGUGUGUGUGUGUGUAUGUGUGUGUUUAUAUGUGCAGAGCUGUUUUCUUAAUCCCGAGUCCUUUUUUCUUUACUAAGACAAUGUUCUGCAGAUCUGAGACCUCAUGGCUCUGCCUCCCUCACCUUCCUAAUGUGGUCCAGGAAUUCUGGAGAGGAGAGACAGUCCUCAGGACUGGAGAACUGGCGGCCAUUGUACUGGAAGAGAGGCAGCAGGCUGGGUUCCAGGGCGAAGAGCCUGGGGGUUAGGAGCAGAGGUCAUAGCACAGUGAGUGGCAACUGCAGCAGACCCUGGCUGGCCAGAAGAAAGCCACAAUACACCCCCAACCUGGCACUACCAGCUU